GACGAACCCUGGCGGCGUGCUUAACACAUGCAAGUCGAACGGAAAGGCCCUGCUUUUGUGGGGUGCUCGAGUGGCGAACGGGUGAGUAACACGUGAGUAACCUGCCCUUGACUUUGGGAUAACUUCAGGAAACUGGGGCUAAUACCGGAUAGGAGCUCCUGCUGCAUGGUGGGGGUUGGAAAGUUUCGGCGGUUGGGGAUGGACUCGCGGCUUAUCAGCUUGUUGGUGGGGUAGUGGCUUACCAAGGCUUUGACGGGUAGCCGGCCUGAGAGGGUGACCGGCCACAUUGGGACUGAGAUACGGCCCAGACUCCUACGGGAGGCAGCAGUGGGGAAUAUUGCACAAUGGGCGGAAGCCUGAUGCAGCAACGCCGCGUGCGGGAUGACGGCCUUCGGGUUGUAAACCGCUUUCGCCUGUGACGAAGCGUGAGUGACGGUAAUGGGUAAAGAAGCACCGGCUAACUACGUGCCAGCAGCCGCGGUGAUACGUAGGGUGCGAGCGUUGUCCGGAUUUAUUGGGCGUAAAGGGCUCGUAGGUGGUUGAUCGCGUCGGAAGUGUAAUCUUGGGGCUUAACCCUGAGCGUGCUUUCGAUACGGGUUGACUUGAGGAAGGUAGGGGAGAAUGGAAUUCCUGGUGGAGCGGUGGAAUGCGCAGAUAUCAGGAGGAACACCAGUGGCGAAGGCGGUUCUCUGGGCCUUUCCUGACGCUGAGGAGCGAAAGCGUGGGGAGCGAACAGGCUUAGAUACCCUGGUAGUCCACGCUGUAAACGGUGGGUACUAGGUGUGGGGUCCAUUCCACGGGUUCCGUGCCGUAGCUAACGCUUUAAGUACCCCGCCUGGGAAGUACGGCCGCAAGGCUAAAACUCAAAGGAAUUGACGGGGCCCCGCACAAGCAGCGGAGCAUGCGGAUUAAUUCGAUGCAACGCGUAGAACCUUACCUGGGUUUGACAUGGAUCGGGAGUGCUCAGAGAUGGGUGUGCCUCUUUUGGGGUCGGUUCACAGGUGGUGCAUGCCUGUCGUCAGCUCGUGUCGUGAGAUGUUGGGUUAAGUCCCGCAACGAGCGCAACCCUUGUUCACUGUUGCCAGCACGUUAUGGUGGGGACUCAGUGGAGACCGCCGGGGUCAACUCGGAGGAAGGUGGGGAUGACGUCAAGUCCUCAUGCCCCUUAUGUCCAGGGCUUCACGCAUGCUACAAUGGCUGGUACAGAGAGUGGCGAGCCUGUGAGGGUGAGCGAAUCUCGGAAAGCCGGUCUCAGUUCGGAUUGGGGUCUGCAACUCGACCUCAUGAAGUCGGAGUCGCUAGUAAUCGCAGAUCAGCAACGCUGCGGUGAAUACGUUCCCGGG
RNAcentral lists this ribosomal RNA (1343 nucleotides) under uncultured bacterium. Its description in RNAcentral is "16S ribosomal RNA". It matches the Rfam family "Bacterial small subunit ribosomal RNA", at positions 28 to 1378 of the family's 1533-position model. The record is from RNAcentral.